CUGCGAAUAUUCUCACUGUUCUGACUUUGUAAUUAUCAGAGUAGGCUAUACAUUUGCUUUAUUAAGACCAUGCAUGCGUCCUUAGACCUAGUUCUUUCCCUAGGUCUGGUUUUAUAAAUGCUGGUGAUAAAC
Myotis lucifugus (little brown bat) is the source of this 132-nucleotide small nucleolar RNA. Its record names the gene SNORA72. It matches the Rfam family "Small nucleolar RNA SNORA72". From Rfam's summary of the family: U72 is a member of the H/ACA class of snoRNAs. The snoRNA gene is located in intron 4 of the ribosomal L30 protein gene in human, mouse and chicken. NCBI's taxonomy places the organism in Eukaryota, Metazoa, Chordata, Mammalia, Chiroptera, Vespertilionidae. The record is from Ensembl.